Molecule: ribosomal RNA, 468 nt
Filed under: uncultured bacterium
Lineage: Bacteria
Description: partial 16S ribosomal RNA
Rfam family: Bacterial small subunit ribosomal RNA
Source: RNAcentral
GACGAACGCUGGCGGCGUGCUUAACACAUGUAAGUCGAACGGAAAGGCCCUGCUUUUGUGGGGUGCUCGAGCGGCGAACGGGUGAGUAACACGUGAGUAACCUGCCCUUGACUUUGGGAUAACUUCAGGAAACUGGGGCUAAUACCGGAUAGGAGCUCCUGCUGCAUGGUGGGGGUUGGAAAGUUUCGGCGGUUGGGGAUGGACUCGCGGCUUAUCAGCUUGUUGGUGGGGUAGUGGCUUACCAAGGCUUUGACGGGUAGCCGGCCUGAGAGGGUGACCGGCCACAAUAGGACUAAGGUACGUCCCAGUGUCCUACGGGAGGCAGCGGUGGGGAGUAUUGCACAGUGAUCGGGAGCCUGAUACGGCAGCGCCGCGUGCGUGAUGACGGCCUUCGAGUUAUAAACCGCUUUCGCCUGUGACGAGGCGUGAGUGACGGUAAUGGGUAAAGAAGCACCGGCUAACUACGUG